GGUCUAUUGAUUCCUAUUCAUUAUAUUUUCAAAAUUAAUGAUAAUAGGUAGCACCUAUAUAGGCAUUUAAGGCCUUUUUUUUUUUUCAAUUUCUAUUCUAGAUAUCAUCAUCUCUGCCUACUCAUCAUAACCAAGACGUCACCAACGUAGCUGGGGCCGCAGGAUCCUGCCUUGGUUGGGUCACAGCGUCUUCUCCUGGUUGUCCACUAUGAGCUCCCCAGCACAGCCAGGUGACUCUCUGCUGGAUGCACUUUGUGUCCUUGCCAAAAUAUGAUAACCAGACUUGAAAACAGCAUGAUAGAG
This 303-nucleotide long non-coding RNA is filed under the name Monodelphis domestica (gray short-tailed opossum). Its description in RNAcentral is "lncRNA (ENSMODG00000038623.1)". The record is from RNAcentral. Lineage: Eukaryota; Metazoa; Chordata; Mammalia; Didelphimorphia; Didelphidae.